Long non-coding RNA from Chroicocephalus ridibundus (black-headed gull), 1433 nucleotides. RefSeq lists it as uncharacterized. The transcript is spliced from 3 exons. Lineage: Eukaryota; Metazoa; Chordata; Aves; Charadriiformes; Laridae. The record is from RefSeq and is a predicted model, not a curated record.
GCCGCCUCACGGUCCCCGCGCCAACGGCCCCUUCACGGCCCCGGGGCCAGCGGUUGCCUCACGGCUCCCUCACGGCCCCGGGGCCAGCGGUUGCCUCACGGCUCCCUCACGGCCCCGGGGCCAGCGGCCCCUUCAUGGCCUCGGGGACCAACGGCCGCCUCACGGCCGCGGGGCCAACGCCCCCUUCAUGGCCCCGGAGCCGGCGGCCGCCUCACGGUCCCCACACGCCUCCGGAGCCAGCGGCCGCCUCACAGCCCCGGGGCCAACGCCCCCUUCACGGUCCCGGAGCCAGCGGCCGCCCCACGGCCGCGGGGCCAGUGGUUCCCUCAUGAUCCCGCCACGGUCCCGCCGCGCCCCUUCAGCGCCCGCGGCCUCCCCGCCAGGGGCAGGGCUGACCCGCGGGCUCCGCCGACGGCCGCUCCGUUCCGGAGAAGCCGCUCCUGCCGCCGCCGGCGAUCAUUCCCAAAGAACUAAACCUCCGUUAGAGUCCCAGGGAUGGUGAGAAGCUGCGUGGAAAUGACAAGCGGCAGAGCAGACGUGCCCAGCACCGCGGGCGUAACCAGAGCCAGGGAGCAAGCCAGACUUCCCUUCUCAAACCGGCCCCAUGGCGUGGGGAGCGAGGAGUGACACUGAACAGACAAGAACACCCUGGAUGGGCUCCUGCUUCUUCUGCAGAAAUUGUCCUUCUCCAAAAGAAACAUCUAAUGCCAUAUGAUGGUGCACCAAAGAGCUCUGUAUGAGGGAGCAGCUGCAAAUUUGAGCAGCACUGAGUGUAAUGAUUUUGAUUUUUAGGUUUGGGGACCUCAAAGCAGGUUCCUCAAUCUACAUAUAAGGGACUGAGCAUCACAGGGGCUUGCUCUGCCCUGACGUCCUCCUGCCCUGGCUGCUGCGUGGUGUCCUGCUCUAGUGCGAGUCACCCUCCUGUUGGGAUGACAGGCGAUGAGCUUCCCAUCAGUAUUUCAGCUUAAGUCACAGGGCACUACCUGGGUUUCAAUCCGAUUUCCAGACAGGCUCAUUCAGAAACUUCCAAGGAUCACCUGCAGGCUCCCAGCCACGACAGCAGAAGUCACUGACACAGGCUUGGACCCAAGAGCUGCUUGCACAAACUGCACGGCAAUCCAGAACGGGCAGGGACUCCUUUCAGAUUCAUUCGGAAAAGAUCAACAGAAGAUUCUUUUCUAAAGGAUGAUUCCCUGCUUUAAUGAAGCUGAGGUGUCUUCUGCACCCUCCAUCUCCUACCAAAACGGGGAAAACAAAAUGGAAGGGAGGAGGUGACUCCCUGGCGCUGUAUAUCCCAGAGAAAUUACUUUGUACCACCCGAAAAUCCCAUUGUGGUGUUCUUGUAUCCUGAGAAACUGAGGACUCACAAGUGACUUCUCAUUCAUCUCUCCAUUUGCUCCUUUUUUUUCCUUUUCCUCCAUUGAGCUCGUUUG